CCGUGCUAGACGGGGGGUUCGGGGUCCCCUACACCGGAAACCCUCGACACGCCGGGUUGAAUGUUCGUCUGCGGCUUCUGAAGGACCGGGCAGCCCCCGGUGAGCAGUGUUGAUGGUCGGGUCCUACGCGACUCGGAGCCGUGAAUCAGGUCAGGCCCGGAAGGGAGCAGCCUUAAGCGGUGUCCCGGGUGUGCCGUCUGGAUCGCCCGCCCGGAGCAAGCUGCCGGGCCAGCGCCGGCCACUCAGGAGUCCAGGACGAACUGCACGG
Molecule: signal recognition particle RNA, 268 nt
Filed under: Actinomycetota bacterium
Lineage: Bacteria; Bacillati; Actinomycetota
Description: signal recognition particle sRNA large type
Rfam family: Bacterial large signal recognition particle RNA
About the family: The signal recognition particle (SRP) is a universally conserved ribonucleoprotein involved in the co-translational targeting of proteins to membranes.
Source: RNAcentral